AGGCACGUAGCUCAGUGGGAGAGCGCUACCCCGACACGGUAGAAGUCGUUGGUUCAAGUCCAAUCGUGCCUA
RNAcentral lists this transfer RNA (72 nucleotides) under Candidatus Magnetoglobus multicellularis str. Araruama. It matches the Rfam family "tRNA". Rfam says of the family: Transfer RNA (tRNA) molecules are approximately 80 nucleotides in length. Their secondary structure includes four short double-helical elements and three loops (D, anti-codon, and T loops). Lineage: Bacteria; Pseudomonadati; Thermodesulfobacteriota; Desulfobacteria; Desulfobacterales; Desulfobacteraceae. The record is from Rfam by way of RNAcentral.